GAGCAAGCCUUCCAGCAUGGCUGGGUCUGUGGUGACCCUGGUCAUUCCUGUAGCGCUUGCGAGAGCAGCCCUGAGAUGGUUUGAGGCCUCGCUCUGCUCCUUUUCAGAGUGAGGUUAUAGAAAUUUCAGACAGGC
Chelonoidis abingdonii (Abingdon island giant tortoise) is the source of this 135-nucleotide small nucleolar RNA. Lineage: Eukaryota; Metazoa; Chordata; Testudines; Testudinidae. The record is from Ensembl.